RNAcentral lists this ribosomal RNA (484 nucleotides) under uncultured bacterium. RNAcentral's name for it is "partial 16S ribosomal RNA". It matches the Rfam family "Bacterial small subunit ribosomal RNA", at positions 30 to 507 of the family's 1533-position model. The record is from RNAcentral.
AUUGAACGCUGGCGGCAGGCCUAACACAUGCAAGUCGAGCGGAUGAAGGGAGCUUGCUCCUGGAUUCAGCGGCGGACGGGUGAGUAAUGCCUAGGAAUCUGCCUGGUAGUGGGGGAUAACGUCCGGAAACGGGCGCUAAUACCGCAUACGUCCUGAGGGAGAAAGUGGGGGAUCUUCGGACCUCACGCUAUCAGAUGAGCCUAGGUCGGAUUAGCUAGUUGGUGGGGUAAAGGCCUACCAAGGCGACGAUCCGUAACUGGUCUGAGAGGAUGAUCAGUCACACUGGAACUGAGACACGGUCCAGACUCCUACGGGAGGCAGCAGUGGGGAAUAUUGGACAAUGGGCGAAAGCCUGAUCAAGCAAUGCCGCGUGUGUGAAGAAGGUCUUCGGAUUGUAAAGCACUUUAAGUUGGGAGGAAGGGCAGUAAGUUAAUACCUUGCUGUUUUGACGUUACAAACAGAAUAAGCACCGGCUAACUUCGUG